This 148-nucleotide small RNA is filed under the name Thermosinus carboxydivorans. RNAcentral's name for it is "c-di-AMP sequence". It matches the Rfam family "c-di-AMP riboswitch aptamer (ydaO/yuaA leader)". Rfam says of the family: This family represents a conserved RNA structure found upstream of the ydaO and yuaA genes in Bacillus subtilis and related genes in other bacteria. The ydaO/yuaA element is thought to act as a genetic "off" switch for the ydaO and yuaA genes in its native state. Lineage: Bacteria; Bacillati; Bacillota; Negativicutes; Selenomonadales; Sporomusaceae. RNAcentral also lists the same sequence under 1 other name. The record is from RNAcentral.
AUUACAAUAACGCCGAAUCCGUUUGGUACGGGGGACCCACUAAAGAUACAGGGGUGAAUCCGCCAGAAUGGUGGAAGGGUUCUUUCUCUAGUCCUUCUCUUUGACCCUAACCCGACAGCUAACCUCGGAGGCGUAGAAAAAGAGAGGU